Molecule: ribosomal RNA, 260 nt
Filed under: uncultured bacterium
Lineage: Bacteria
Description: partial 16S ribosomal RNA
Rfam family: Bacterial small subunit ribosomal RNA
Source: RNAcentral
UGGCGGACGGGUGAGUAACGCGUGGGUAACCUGCCCUGUACAGGGGGAGUAACAAUCAGAAAUGACUGCUAAUACCGCAUAAGACCACAGCACCGCAUGGUGCAGGGGUAAAAACUCCGGUGGUACAGGAUGGACCCGCGUCUGAUUAGCUGGUUGGUGAGGUAACGGCUCACCAAGGCGACGAUCAGUAGCCGGCUUGAGAGAGUGAACGGCCACAUUGGGACUGAGACACGGCCCAAACUCCUACGGGAGGCAGCAUG